AUGAUAGGGAGAGAGAGAUGGAAGGAGAGGAGGAAUAAAGCGAGAGGAAGAGAAGAGGGAGGUGCGGCGUCGGCCGGGCGAGGGUCACCGGCCGGUGCUGGCGAGGUCGAGCGCGACCUGGCGGUUGGUGGUGGCAAAAACGGCAUAGAAGUCCACCACUGUGAGCUGCUCGAACCGUAUGCGCCCGCCGGCUUCCUUUCCCCUUCAGUUUAUGCAACUUUGAGAAUGAAGACAAUGACGGGGAGGAGGGCUUGCCUUUUCCUCGGAGAGGAGGUCGACCGUUGGAGGUUUUGUGAGGGAAUGAAGCAAAACAGCAGGAAGGAAAUAGAGAGGGUAGUGUGUCAUCAUGCACAGAGUCUGCCUUCCAUUGGCGUGUGCACAACAAGGACCAUGCAUUGGAACAUCAAAUUCAACCGGCUUACAAGUUGA
This 429-nucleotide ribosomal RNA is filed under the name Triticum aestivum (bread wheat). RNAcentral's name for it is "partial small subunit ribosomal RNA". Lineage: Eukaryota; Viridiplantae; Streptophyta; Magnoliopsida; Poales; Poaceae. The record is from RNAcentral.